RNAcentral lists this long non-coding RNA (2870 nucleotides) under Gossypium barbadense (sea-island cotton). Its description in RNAcentral is "long non-coding RNA (GBAR_LNC017737)". The record is from RNAcentral. Lineage: Eukaryota; Viridiplantae; Streptophyta; Magnoliopsida; Malvales; Malvaceae.
CUGAAUCAGGUUAUAAGCCUAGCAGGUGAAGUGCCAGUGAAUCUGUUUAAAUUAAGUGAUUAUAUGCAUUGGGUAUAUAUAUAUAUAUGAUUUUGGUUAUAUGUAAUGGAUAAAUAUAUGAACAUUUGUUUCAAUGUAUUUGAUGAGCAUAUAAACGUUCGGAUCUUUGUGAUUAGUGAGUAUGUACAUAUAUUGGUUGUCAUGAAAUUGUUGGAUAUAUAUAUAUACAUUCGGCCAAAUGUUAAACUUAUGUGUAUUUGGUUAAAUAUGGAUUUGAUGUAUAGUACGUGUUUGAUAAAUGUAUUUUUCGAUUAUGGAAAUGUAUAUGAAUAUUGAAAACAUGAUUUGAUUUUGUUGUAACUAAUUAAAUGUUGUUAAGUUAUCUAUUUGCUUAUGACUUACUAAGCUGUAAUAGCUUACUCUGUGUGUUUUUCUUAUAUUUUUAGAGUUCUAAAGACUUGCUCGGGUUGGAAGACGUUGGAAUCGUGAUCACACUAUCCGGUUAUGGCUUUGGUAAAUUAAAGCUUUGAGUUUUUGGUUAUGUGGCAUGUAUAGGCUAGUUUUAAUUUAGUUUUUGUAUAUAUAUUUAGCCAUGUGAAAAUGGCUUGAUCUAAUGCUAAUGAUCCAAGGUUUAAGUAAUUUUGGUCAUAGUAAAGGCGUGGGGUAUGCUUGGUAUAUGAAUUUGGUAAGACGUAAUGAUAUAUAUAUGUGUGUCUUUGAUAAGUUAUUUGAUAAUUCGGUAUGUAAAGGACUAAUGGUUUUAAUGCUUGAAUUACAAAAUGUGUUAUAUGUCUACAUAGUGGUAUGAUCGAUUAUGGUAAUUGACUUAUUAUUGUAAGUAUGAAAUAUUUGCAUUGGGUGUGUAUAUGAAAUUUUGAUAUGAGUUAUACUGUAUGAAAUUGGCAUAUUUUGAAUGGCUAAAGUACUUGGAAAAUGGCUAAUGUUAGUCAAGUGAAUAAAGUAUGUAUUGGUUUUAUAUGUAUUUUAGGCUUAAUAAUUAGCAUGCGAAUUGAGUGUAAAUUGUAUGGUUAGUUUGCUAGCCAAAUAGAAGAUAAGAUGAAUGGAAAAGCAUACACAUGUUUUGUACUUAAAUGGGAAGUUAGGCAUGUAUGACUUAUUAGUUGAGUUUAAAAAAAAAAAAGUGGUGCAUAGUUGAUAAGGUUAAAUGCAUUAGUGGCUAAGAUGUUUAUAUGCUAAACUUGACUAUUUGGUGAAAUUGAUUAUGUUAUAUUUUCUAAUGGACAAUAAGCCGAGCGAUAUGGAUUGUUUGGUUUUAUGCACAUGAAUAGAAGUAUGAAUUGAUAUAUUUGAUAUUCAGCUUAAGAAGUAAAAUAUGCUUGGAUGUCUUAAUGUAUGUGCAUGGAAUUUAUAAUGUGAUGAGUCAUCUUAUAAUUUGAUUUUGAAUGAUAUAAGUAAGAGGUAUAUAUGUUUCGAAUGAUGGGAUUUUAAAGCAUGUGUAAUAUGACUAUUUUGAGCCGUGUUUUAUAUGGUAAUGCCUUGUAACCUUAUUCCGGCGACGGAUAUAGGUUAUGGGUGUUACAGUAUCGGAUUAGUAGAUUCUCGUAAACGAACAAGUGUCGAGGUAAGUUCGUGUAACUAAAUUGUGUACAUUUAUAUGUUUGAAUUAAAUGGUAUAUAUGUGAAUUGUAUAAUUUCCAUGUAUAUAAAAUUGAUUAAAUACCCGAAAAUGCCUGAUAAAUGUUAAGUUCCGUUUGAACAAAUGAAAAUCGACAAAUACAAGUUUCAUGUAUUGGUUGUAGUCCUGCAUAUGUUGCGGACACAACACAGCUCGAAAGAGCGUCCAUUUAUUAGCCCUCUCGAGCUUCCUGUUAUAUGGUUCUUGCGAGUUUUUCGUUAAUAGCUCUUCGGAGCAUCCCGAUUGGUUGUGAUCCUAUAUGUGUUGUGGACACACCACAACUCUUAUGAGCUUCCUGAUUAUGGCUCUUUGUGAGCUUCCCGUUAAUUGGCUCUUUGUGAGCUUCCCAAUAAGGCUCACUUGGACUUCUCGAUAUUAAGCUAUCCGGUGCUUCCUGUUAAUGGCUCUUCGGAGCUACUCGAUAUUGGAUCGCAUGAGCUUCCUGAAUAUGGCUCUUAUAAGCUUCCCUUUACAUGGCUCACAUGAGCUUCCCGUUAUAUGGCUCGAGAGAGUGUUUCCUGUUUAAGUGUUCUUAUAAACACUCUUGAAUAUGAAUUGACGAAUUACAGAUUCGUACACUUCAUGUGUACUACCCGAUGUCUAUCGAUAUUUCAUAAGGUUCAAUGAGCAAAGUCCUGAUAUAAGUUAAGAUAAGGUCUGAAUGAAUUAAUAAUUGUAUCUACCUGAAAAUACAUGGAAAUGUUUAUACUAUGAGUUCAUCUCUGUUACUUACUUGAAAUGCAUUUGAAAUAUAUGACUAACUUGUUUGAGGAUGUAUAUGUGUUAGGUUAUUGAUUAAUUUGAUUUGGAUGUACUUUGUAUGCUUAUUUUAAAUGAAUAUGAAUGGUAAGUCAUUUUAUCGUUAUACGAACUUACUAAGCAUUAAAUGCUUACUUUGUUUUAUUUUCUCUAUUUUAUAGUACUCGGAAGCUCGUAAAGGUUGGAGCGGGUCGGAGCAAGAUCACACUAUCCUUCAGCUCUUUUUGGUAUAAAUAGUAAACUUUAAUUAGGAUAUAAUGACAUGUAUAGGUUAAAUUGGUUAAUUGUUGGCGUACACAUGUUUUGGUUGUAAAUAGCCAUUGGAAUGGCUUGUAAUGGUCAUGUUUUGAUAUAUAUACAUAUGGUAUUAUCAUGUUUGAAUUAUGAAUAUGAUUAUGUAUAUAUGCAUUUGGUAUCUAGGUAAGUAUAAGUUUUAGAAUAACACAAUAAUAAAUUGUCUAUUGGGAAGCCUAAG